Molecule: small nuclear RNA, 164 nt
Organism: Acomys russatus (golden spiny mouse)
Lineage: Eukaryota; Metazoa; Chordata; Mammalia; Rodentia; Muridae
Product: U1 spliceosomal RNA
Exons: 1
Source: RefSeq, a predicted model, not a curated record
ACAGUCACCUGGCAGGGGAGAGACCAUGAUUAAAAAGGUGGUUUUCCCAGGGUGAGGCUUAUCCACUGCACUCCAGAUGUGCUGACCCCUGUGAGUUUCCUGAAUUCUGGAAACUCAACUGCAUAAUUUGUGGUGGUGGGGGUCUGUAUUCAUGCUCGACCCUG